UACAGAGGUCUCAAGCGUUGUUCGGAUUCAUUGGGCGUAAAGGGUGCGUAGGCGGCGCGGUAAGUCGGGUGUGAAAUCUCGGGGCUUAACUCCGAAACUGCAUUCGAUACUGCCGUGCUUGAGGACUGGAGAGGAGACUGGAAUUUACGGUGUAGCGGUGAAAUGCGUAGAUAUCGGGAGGAACACCUGUGGCGAAAGCGGCGCACUGGACCAUAACUGACGCUGAGGCGCGAAAGCUAGGGGAGCAAACAGG
RNAcentral lists this ribosomal RNA (253 nucleotides) under uncultured bacterium. Its description in RNAcentral is "partial 16S ribosomal RNA". It matches the Rfam family "Bacterial small subunit ribosomal RNA", at positions 524 to 776 of the family's 1533-position model. The record is from RNAcentral.